CUGCGAAUAUUCUCGCUGUCCUGGUUUUGUGGUAGCCAGGGCAGGCUAACCGUUUGCUAUAUAAAAGACCAUGCAUGUGUCCCCAGGCUGAGUUCUUUCCCUGAGCCUGGUUUUAUAAAUGCUGGUGAUAAGU
RNAcentral lists this small nucleolar RNA (133 nucleotides) under Echinops telfairi (small Madagascar hedgehog). RNAcentral's name for it is "Small nucleolar RNA SNORA72 (ENSETEG00000021903.1)". It matches the Rfam family "Small nucleolar RNA SNORA72". From Rfam's summary of the family: U72 is a member of the H/ACA class of snoRNAs. The snoRNA gene is located in intron 4 of the ribosomal L30 protein gene in human, mouse and chicken. Lineage: Eukaryota; Metazoa; Chordata; Mammalia; Afrosoricida; Tenrecidae. The record is from RNAcentral.